UUAACUCACAUUUGUAUGAAGUUGGAAUACCUUCCCUAUGUUUGCCGCUAGAGGCAAUGUUCCAACUCCAUACAAAUUCCAACUC
RNAcentral lists this microRNA precursor (85 nucleotides) under Bombyx mori (domestic silkworm). RNAcentral's name for it is "mir-2807 microRNA precursor family". It matches the Rfam family "mir-2807 microRNA precursor family". The record is from Rfam by way of RNAcentral. Lineage: Eukaryota; Metazoa; Arthropoda; Insecta; Lepidoptera; Bombycidae.